Molecule: non-coding RNA, 5179 nt
Organism: Peromyscus maniculatus bairdii (prairie deer mouse)
Lineage: Eukaryota; Metazoa; Chordata; Mammalia; Rodentia; Cricetidae
Source: RefSeq, a predicted model, not a curated record
GUGCCAGACAAGAGUGGCUGGCACGCAGUCACAAGGCUCUGCAGACACACCUUUCCUAAGGAGUUUGUUUUCAUCUGUGACUUAUCUGAUGCGCCAAGGCCAAGGAGUUUGUGAGCGACCUUUGCCUGAAAUUCUAAGCUCUAGCAUCUAGAGCAACUUGCAAAUUGGCAGGACGAAGCUUAUUUUCUAAAAUAAAUAUUCCGUUAAUAAUGUAACUCUAAAACGGGCAACAUUGCGUGAAAAAUAAAUUCCUUAUGCAAUAAUAUCUUUGAAAAUAUGAUCACCUAAGAGUGUCUGAGUGGCCACCUCCAUUAAAUUGCAUAUUUUGAACACUAACUGCCUCCUGCUGUCCAUAUGACUGUUUCUAGUCUGUGUACUGCCCCUGGCCCCAUUUAAGCUGUACCAAAAUUGGUUUUUCUUUAUCCUAAUUCUUUCCCACAGCUUGAGAGAUUUAUUAAUCCUAUUGGCAAAUCCUGUCUCUUCCAUUAGACACAGCACCUAUGGCUCACAGAACUUUUAGGAGCCAACAAAAGUUUUUUUUCAUUUGUUUUGAAGUCAGAAGAGAAAAUAGAUUUAAGUGUUUUAAUGUCCACUAAUAUUUCUGUCUUUUGUACUGAAGGCACACCCAACACAAACGUUUAAAUCUGUAAUAGCUAAAGAGACUCAAAGAUAGCUAGAGCCCAAGAAAAUCAUGGCAUAUCUUUGUGGCCCAGGACUGCAGAUUCCUUUUCCAUGGAAAAUAAUUUUAAACCCCAGACAACAUGACAGCAUCAUGGUUUGCACCUUAUAUAAAAUGCUGACCUCCGUGGCCUUGCUUCCUCUGCAUGCGUUCACUAGUUAAUCCGACAACACACCUGUGAACUGGGUUCUGUUCCCACAUGUAGGGGCGGAUGCAGGGUUUUGUGGGGCCUGAAAUUUAUGCAGUUUGGGUGGUCCUCUGAAAAGAGAAAACAAAACAAAACAAACCAGCAUGUCCAACCUGUUCCAGCAGCCCUCGGCAUUGGGUGGAACUGACUAAGUGGAUGUCCAGCUGGAAAGAGACCUCUGUCUCAACCCAGAGUGGUUAAAUUAUCUUACUUUUACAAAUUGUAUUAAAAAAAAAAAAACCACAUGAUCACAUAAACAUGCUGCCAAAGUUUUCUUGUAUAGGGGUGAAGAAAAGCUACCCAGAAGCUUGUGCACCACAGAAAAUCUGCCUUGUGUGCCCAUUUCACAGCUCCUGCCCUGAGUGCCUUGCCGGAGGCUUCUCUCUUACAGAUGGAGCAAGAAGCCAGAAGAUUAAAGGAUUGAGCUGAGGUCCAGAGAGAGGUAGUAGGGAGCUAUUAUGGCGGGCCACUUGCUUCUCCUGAUGCUUCUAGCUUCUCCAGGCUCUCACAAGCAGCUACCUGUACAGGUAAGGCUUUGAUGAGGUUGGAUUCUGCCUUUGCUGUCCCCAAAGGAUGUGCUCAGAUUUCCUUUUCCAUCUCUCCCUAGUCCAUGUGUUAGUUAUUAGUCUCAUUGCUAGGACAGAGCAACCUAAGGAGCUCACGGUUUGGGGGUGCAGUCCAUAACGGUGGACGGCAGGAGCACAAGGCGGCUGUCACACUGCGUCUGCGGUCAGGAUGCAGAGAGGGGUAAAUGUUGCUGCCCAGCCCACUUUCUUCUCUUUAUGCAAUCCCAGGACCCAAGCCCAGGGAAUACCACAACCCAGAUUCAUGGUGGGUCUUCCCAAUCCAGUUAAUUAACCUGCCAACUCUCUCGCAGACAUGCCCAGACCGUGUCUCCAAGGUGCUUGUCUCCAAGGUGCUUUUCUGUCAUGUUGACAAUUCUAUCAUGUUGACAAUACCAACCAUCCACAACCCAUGUUCUUCCUUUUCUUGGCCUUUAAUAGUCUACUGCUUCCUCUUGUGCAUUCCUGCUGCAGGUAGAGGUGUGUGUGUGUGUGUGUGUGUGUGUGUGUGUGUGUGUGUGUGUGUGUGUAGCUCAGUGUGUACAUGUGAUUAUAUGUUUGUGUGGUACAUGCCCAUUGUGUGGAGGACAGAGGUCAACUCCAGAUGUCCUUCUGUCCACCUUACUUCUUGAAGCCGGGUCUCUCACUGUGAUCGGGGGCUUGUCAUUGGGCUAUACUGGCUGGCCAUUGAGCCCCAAGGAUCCUCCUGCCUCUGCCUCCUCAGCACUAAGAGUACAAACAUACACCACCAUGCCUGUUUUUUCUGUAAUUUGGAGUCUUUUGUUAUUGUUGUUGUUGCUGUGUGAGUGCUAGGAGUUUGACUGAGGUCCCCAUGUGCGCAUGGCAAGUGCUUUACAGACUGAGCUGUCUCCCCACUCUGGUUCAGAUAUUAAUUAGUAUGCAUCAGUGUAGAUGGGCUGCUGCUUCUCUGAAUUCAGCAUUGUUUCUCUACAGGGCCUUCUCCCCCAACCCCCACCCAUGAUUGGGACUCUCAGGAUGCUAUUCACCUUUGGUGUGUUCCCGCUUUCUUCAACUUGAAAGUGUCUUUAUAGUUUAUACUCAAAAUCUGCUAAAGCCAGGAACAUCCCUUGAUGACUCACCACCUUUAGUGAGCCAGUUUGUUCUUUGUAUUUACAUGAGGACAAGUAAAAGGAUAAAAAUGUGGCAUCACCACUAGACUUCUGAACUCAAUAUUCAAGAAAUUCAUUGAAUUUUCAAUACUAUAAAUGGCACAUGACAGUCAACAAGACAGGCAAUGCCACCGCUCUCUUUCAUUGCUAGCCUCUUAAGACAUCAUCAGAUGGGCGUGGUGGCCGUGGUGGUUUAAAUGAGAACGUCCCCCAUAGGCUCACAUAUUUGAAUGCUUGGUCCCUAGUUGGUGGAACUGCUUGGGAAGGAUUAGAAGGUGUGGCCUUGUUGGAGGAAGUGUGUGUGUCACUGGAGGCAGCCUUUGAGGUUUCAUUAAUGAAUGCCAGGCCCAGUCUUUGUUUCUGUCUCCUGCUGGUGAAUCAUAUGUAAGCUUUCAGCUUCUGCUCCUGUGCCAUGCCUGCCUGCCUGCUGCCAUACUCCCUACCAUGAUGGUUGUGAACUCACCCUCUGGAACUGUAAGCAAGCUCUCAGCCAAAUGCUUUCUUUUGUAAGUUGCCUUGGUCCUGGUGUCUCUACACAGCCAUCAAACAGUAACCAAGUCAGCAGCACAAAGUACUCAGGAGAUGGAUAAAGGGGGAUCAGGAGUUCCAGGUCAUUCUCUGCUACUUAGUGAGUUUGAAGCCAGUGUAGGCUACAUGAGACUCUGUCUUUAAAAGACAUAAAAACAAUAAGACAAAAUGUGGUCCAUGUGGGAAAUAUAGUGGAUCAGCAGAGUACAUGAUAAACACAUGGACCUAAUUUAAAUUUACUGGUUUUUAUCACUGUCUUUUAUUUUCUGUUCCUAUCAGCAAUGAAUAAAGUUUUAGGCCUAAAGCCUGAACACUUGAUUUCACAAAUGACCCAAGAUUAAUUACAGGCCAUUAAGGUAUCAAUAAUUAACAGAUAAUAUUCAGGGUUUUUUUUUUUAAGGAAAUUUAUUGUACCUUUUAUUUUAAACCUUGUUCAUUUGCUAAAAGUUAAAAGUCUGUGGACACAUCAGCUGAUUUAAAACUCAGUAUUUGGGGACUGAUAAUAUUGCUUCUUUGGUAAUGUUGCCAGUUACCCAGGCUCAGUUUCAUCCCCAGGGACCUAUGUGGUAGGACAAGAAAACUAACUCCUCCACGCUGACCUCUGGUCACCACAUGAAUGCCAUCACCCAUCACCCAAACCCCUAGAAAGAACAAAUAAAUGAAAAAAAUAGAAAAACAUUUUUUAAAUCUACUAUUUAUUCAUUUUUUUUGUAUUUUAAAAUUGCUGUUCAAGUGAGAAGAAACAUGAAGACUCAAUCCCCACAAUUAACCUAGUAUCAAUCCCCCAACUAACUUAACACAGCAGUAAACAUAUAUUUUAGUAAUUUGCCCUUACUUCCUUCUUUUCUAUCAUUGUAGAAUGAUGAACAUCCUGGUUCAUCCCUUUGCAAAGGCAUUGGGAAGUUACACAAAGUUCUAUGAAGAAAACCAACCUUAAUCGAAGAUCAGGUAACACUGAGGAAAACGAACAAAAGACAAUUCAUGAAUUGCAAAGCUUUUCAGAAACCUGAAUUUAGAGUGGAUCUUCAAUUAUAACAUAACAGGAGAUUCUGUAAUGAUACAAUGUACAUUAACAUAACAUUGCACACGGGAGGGCCUUUCCCCAAAUCCAUUCUCUCCUUUUUCAAGGAACUCAGGUCGAUUGCCCUUUAAAGAGCCAGUCCGUCCCUAGGGAGGCUUUAGUCCCCAAAACUCUGGCAGAUCUGUCCUCAUCCCUUGGCUACACAGUGACCAAGUGGACAGAGUAUAUAAUGACAAGUUCUCCAAAAGGAAAGGGCCUUGAUUUGUAGCACUGGCCAAUUUCCAUAGUGUCAACACUCUCAUCGUGGCUAAUUCCAAGCCACAAAGGCCAAAUCACUGGGCAAAUUGGAAAGACCAGUUAUCAUCUGAGGAUGAACUAUCCCUCGAUCAGAACACCAGUGUCCAAAGCAAGAGGCACUGGGUUUGUGGAUAAAGAAAUUCCAGCAUUUACUGGUAAAGCACCUGUCACAGGGUUCCUUUGGAAAGCGCCUUCCUGAUAAUUUAGUCAGCUCAGAGCAGAGAAGAGCAGAGUAGAGAAGGGAGGGGCUAAACUGUAGGGUCAUCACUGGAUGCGAGCCAGCCUGAGCCUCCAGACUGCAGUUAUAUGAGACAGUGAAUCCCUUCAGACCCUUCUCUGCCUCCCCCCUUACCAUUUGUUUGUUUGUUUGUUUGUUCUUUGAUAUGUCGUUAAUUUUCCUUUUAUUAAAUCUGCCUAUAUUAGGUUUUGUUUUAUUGAAAGAAUAUGACCUUUUUUUUUAUUCAAAAAGCUUUUCAAAAGAACAAGUCAGCAACGGCAGCUAGAGUGUGUUAUCUCCCACAUAUCCCACAGUUCACUCCCUCUAAGAAACAUCCCCCUCUCUGUCCCUACAAAGCAACCUGAACCAAUAACUGUCUGUAACCCAAAGCGCUGACUGCCAUGAAGAUGGGUCAGACUCAACAGGUUCCAAGUGGCAAUCACAUUCUCUACUGAACACACACUCCACCUCUGCUCCUGCUUCUCCUCAGCUCAUGAACUCGGUGUGUGCCUGACGGGAUAGGAAAGAAGGAAGGGGUGACAUGAUUCUUGCACCUU